UACUGUAUUUGCGCAAAAGAACUUGCCUUUCUAGCCUCGCGACUUGCUACGAAGCGUGGUAGCAUAGGAGACCGGUCGGUCCCCUUCUCCUCCGCCCGUCCUCCGUGCCCUGAGUGCGUGCGUCCUCUGCGCUUCGUCGGUGCCCCUCAGUAGAUGGGUGUGCGUAGUCUCCGUCUUCUUGCUUCCGCAGCCCUCCUCCUCCGGUUCCGGUCUUGAGGGCUGCGUGUGCCGGUCGAGCACGUCCGCCGGCUCCGAAGGCACGUGUCGGCCUGCUCCGAGUGGCCUCCGGGAGAGAAGAUGGCCGGACGCGCGCGUUUAGCGCUCGACCACCACCUCUAGCUGCUGUACGGCUAGUAGAAGAGAGUUCCACGUAUCUAGUAGCUACCGCUUCUUCACGAUGCUGUCCUUAUAUAUAUGUUGCUCACCGGUCUCACAGUACGGGUCCACAUGGCCGAAGACCAAAGGCUCGUUGUCCGUCAUCAAUCAAAUCCAAGUGCGAUUACGCUCUCUCCCUAUG
Molecule: ribosomal RNA, 517 nt
Filed under: Triticum aestivum (bread wheat)
Lineage: Eukaryota; Viridiplantae; Streptophyta; Magnoliopsida; Poales; Poaceae
Description: partial small subunit ribosomal RNA
Source: RNAcentral